UACGUAGGGGGCAAGCGUUGUUCGGAAUUACUGGGCGUAAAGAGUGUGUAGGCGGUGUUCCCAGUCUGUUGUGAAAUCUCCCGGCUUAACUGGGAGGGUGCAGCGGAAACUAGAAUGCUAGAGGGUGGGAGAGGUAAGCGGAAUUCCUGGUGUAGCGGUGAAAUGCGUAGAUAUCAGGAGGAACACCGGUGGCGAAGGCGGGUCUCUGGGCAAUAACUGACGCUGAGGAGCGAAAGCGUGGGGAGCGAACAGG
This 253-nucleotide ribosomal RNA is filed under the name uncultured bacterium. RNAcentral describes it as "partial 16S ribosomal RNA". It matches the Rfam family "Bacterial small subunit ribosomal RNA", at positions 524 to 776 of the family's 1533-position model. The record is from RNAcentral.